This 253-nucleotide ribosomal RNA is filed under the name uncultured bacterium. Its description in RNAcentral is "partial 16S ribosomal RNA". It matches the Rfam family "Bacterial small subunit ribosomal RNA", at positions 524 to 776 of the family's 1533-position model. The record is from RNAcentral.
UACGAACUGUGCAAACGUUAUUCGGAAUUACUGGGCGUAAAGCGCACGUAGGCGGGUCGUUAAGUCAGGGGUGAAAUCCCGGAGCUCAACUCCGGAACUGCCUUUGAUACUGGCGAUCUAGAGAUCGGAAGAGGUGAGUGGAAUUCCCAGUGUAGAGGUGAAAUUCGUAGAUAUUGGGAAGAACACCAGUGGCGAAGGCGGCUAACUGGUCCGGUACUGACGCUGAGGUGCGAAAGCGUGGGGAGCAAACAGG